AGUUUCCAGGUGGGUAACAGCAGGGAUAUAUCACCAUAUAAGUUGAAAGUCUUCAAUAAGAUCAUGACACAGGAGUGGUAAGGCCUAAACUGGUGCUUAAAUGAGGAAAUGCUUCACAGAUGGCUAAAAACUGGAGUGCUGGACUUUGGGCCAGAGUUUCAAGCUCUUGUUUCAUUGCACCUACCCAGAACUGAAAUAGAAAGAGCUAGAGGCAAAGAGGAAAAGCUAAAGUUCAAGAUUCAGAGAUUAGCAAUGUGUAGCCUGCAGCUCAGCUCAUAGGCAGUUGUGCUCUGAAGCAUGGCCAAAGAAUGUAGCUGAGAGAACUGAAGAAAAAGAUCAUUUUUGUUGAACACUGAGAUAGCAAAGGAUGCCAUAGAUUCCUUGGACAGAAACUACAGGUAUACUGACUUUCUGAAGAGCAGUAGAUGGAAGAAACCAUGCAGAGUAGAAGCUCACUGGCUCUGCAUAUGACAGAGACUCCUGUUGAGCUCCUGAAGGUGAAGCAGAGCCCUUUGAUUUGUCAGACCAUGCCUCCCAUAUUCCAGACUAUAGAGUUCCCCCAGGGAAAUACAGAAACUCAGUUUCUGAUUGGAAAGGCAAAGAGUGUGGAAGAAGACCCUGCUUUGGGACCAUCACCUGCAAUGAAGCUUGAAAUUUUGGUGCAAAAGCCUCACCUGGAGUGA
RNAcentral lists this long non-coding RNA (683 nucleotides) under Anas platyrhynchos platyrhynchos (common mallard). RNAcentral describes it as "lncRNA (ENSAPLG00000029551.1)". The record is from RNAcentral. Lineage: Eukaryota; Metazoa; Chordata; Aves; Anseriformes; Anatidae.